AAUCCCGUGAACCAUCGAGUUUUUGAACGCAAGUUGCGCCCGAAGCCUUCGGGCCGAGGGCACGUCUGCCUGGGCGUCACGCAUCGCGUCACCCCCUCCCCCCGCUCCUCUGGACCGGGGGGUGGAGAAUGGCCUCCCGUGUGCACCGUCGCGCGGCCGGCCC
RNAcentral lists this ribosomal RNA (163 nucleotides) under Justicia diffusa. Its description in RNAcentral is "5.8S ribosomal RNA". The stretch from base 1 to 79 matches the Rfam family "5.8S ribosomal RNA", at positions 78 to 154 of the family's 154-position model. The record is from RNAcentral. Lineage: Eukaryota; Viridiplantae; Streptophyta; Magnoliopsida; Lamiales; Acanthaceae.